CACCAUAAAGGAUAGAAAGUUGCUUGCCUAAAACUGGUACAACAGGUGAAAUUUCUCACAGCUGUUUUCAGCUCUUGAGAACACUUCUGCCUUCUCCUACCACCCCAACACCAUGGCAGGUGUCCCCAGUUAGCAUCAGGCAAGCAAUAGAAGAGUGAUUUCAUUCCCCCUUACAAACUGCAACCGAUGUUUCUGUGAAGGAGUGGUUAGAAGAUACAGCUUUUGAUAAGAUACUGCAACAAUGAAUGCGGUCAUGUUUGGGAGCUCCUCGGCUACUGCGGUGUUGCAAGCUAUAUGAGGAAGAGGUCACUUCAGAAUGAAGUUAAGUGCUACCGCUCCCUUCCUCAGGGGCAGAGAAGACUGAGACGGCUGAGCAGAGGUUAUGUGUUGGGUCAGUCUGACAAAUCGGCAGCUUUGGGCUGAUUGGGAUCUGUUUCCAAUGAGGGCCAGUUAAAUAUGUGCACAAUCCAGCUUCGAACGUAGUCCUGCAUGUGAAUUAAACUCUACAAAACACUGUUAAUUUGAAUUUUACUGUGUAAAAUCAGAACCAGUGGAUGUCUCCCCACUGUCCUGCUUUGCUAGCCAUGUCUACUCUGUGUCGUUCAGCCAACUGACUCCUGACUGAAGCAGCCUGCUGUUCAGCUGGCUGUGCAGGACACAGACCGGUUUUGUUUCAAGCAUGUAAAUCGGAGGGGAGCAGAAGAACCACUUUGUUCCCCAGCCCUGCCCCCGGGUAUAUAAAUAGCCGCCUGGGUGGCUGCUGGAGUGCCUCUCAUUCCAGAGAUCUUUGGCCACCCUCUUAUCAAAACAGAAAGACUGACUUCACUCCCGUUCUCUGCCGACUGAUUUCAUGCUGGAAACAGGUAAGGAGGCCGUGGCCAUCGUCCUUGAAUUGGCCACCUACAUCCAGAGGUCAAGCAAAGAGAAACGCGCUGCCAACAUUCCUCCUUCACAAAAUAAGCCGGUGCUUGAGCAGUCCCGGCUGACAAAUGUUCUCCAGAGCGAUGCAGAGCAACCAUCCCAGGCGGGCUAACAAGGGGUAUCGAGCUACAGUGCUGGGGAAGAUGCGAAAUGCGAGACAAAGCCUGGUGCCAAUUUUAAAUGCUGGAGCUGGGGAAGGUUUCCACUGGAUGGUGAAAGGUCUGGGUCACUGACCAAUGGUGGCCCUGGGCACCUGGGGGAGGACAGGGCUGUUGUCCCAGUUCUGGUGCUUGGGAGGCUGGCAUUUACACCCGACACCAUGAUUUGGUGAAACCUUACUGUCAGCAUCAAAAUUUCCUGCCUGCUUUCAUCUUCUUAGGAGUGAUAAGAGCUUAGAGGCAAUGGGUGGUGGCUAAAACCUUUCACUUAUCCCCUUUCUGCUUUCACUUUAUUUUUUCCUUCCUCCUCCUUUCUGUUGCUUUAAUUAGUCCCUAAUAUACGUUGAUAUCUUGUCCCUAAUAUACGUUGAUAUCUUGUCCCUAAUAUACGUUGAUAUCUUGUCCCUAAUAUACGUUGAUAUCUUGUCCCUAAUAUAUGUUGAUAUCACGUCUCAGAGACACUGCGGCUACCCUCGUGCAAGCGGGGUCACGCAUUUGACAUGUACACCGUGCCACAGAUGAUUGAUGCCACCCUUCUGUCACUGUCACGUUUCCUCUAAAACACGAGCUAAGAGGGUGAGGGGGUUGUAUCCCUGUGCUUCAGAGAGUUGUUCUCAUAGGAAGAGAAGGCAAGCACAGGCCGGUGCCUGGCUAAUGCACCGCAGACACCUCGUGCUCCUCCAAAGUGCUGUCAGCUCCUGGUUAUCCCUGGAUUGAUGGUGCAGGCUGCAAGUCCCACCUGUAGCUGCACAGAUGCUGUGGGCUGCACAAGGCAGCUGCAGCAGGUCCUGCUUCACUUGCAGGUGUUUGAAUUGUCCUUCCUCUACAGAAAACAUUUUUCUAUAGCUGGGGAAAAACAUAGUAAAUGUGCUCUUAGAGAGUCACCUAGGUCUCCACAAUUUGGAGUUAUCCUUAAUUGUGCCAUCACCUCACUGAUGGGAAGCACAGAGAGAGAUUUGCCUCUGAACAGCUUUAUUUCUUUUCCUCGUUCCUUAAUCUAUGUAAGCCUUCUUCUAACAAAACUAAAAAAAAAAAAAAGUCUACCACACUGUUUUUUCUCCAUCUAUUUUUUGGUUUCCUAUCCUGUUUUAUGACAAGCCACUGUUGAUGCUGUUCUUUACUUCUGCUGCUUUGCCAACACUGACAGCAUCACGUUUGGUAUCCAGGAAGACAUUGUGAAAUAUCUUCAUUUUUUAGUACUAGCACUGUUUCCUUCUUCAUGCAGACCUCUGGGUGGGUUUUGACUCCUGGUGGCUCUGCUCUGAACUUCACUACAGACCAUGCUCACAGCACCUCUGCUUGCUUUAUUUAUUUUCUGAAGCAUAGCUUAUUGGGCUUGGCAAAGGCAACUCUCAUCAGACCAGCCUCAUAGCUUUCUUGCCAACUGCUGGCAUAAACAAAAGAAACAUGUCCUCUCCCAGCUUUAGUGUGGCAUCUGAUGUCUUCCCCCAAUUCUGACACUGCUGAAGACCAUCAUUUUUACGUAAGAUAUGCAGGAAGACAACAGCAGGCAAUGCUGCAAAAUAAAGGACCAAGCAGAAAGCAGUUGAUGGAGUUUAUAUGCACUCACAUAUGUAAACUUAUACAGAGGUAUGUAUAGAUAAAUUGAAAGGUCUGGAAAUCAUUCUUAAUGUUUUCCUUAGUGAACUAGGCAUAAAGACUACAAGUUUGCUGGUGAAACUUGUGGAUGGUGAAAAGUUGGGAGGCACUAUCAGGAGGAUGGAAAACGUAAAAAAUGUUAUGGGAAGGAAAUAAACCAAAUGAAAUUAAUUUCAGAAGCAUAGAUGGCUAAAGAAUGCAUAUGGAGAUUGCCAUCAAUAAUUGCUGUUAGUCUGAAAAAGCAGAAGCUGAAGAUAGAAGUGGAAAUAAAAUGAAACAGGCAACUUCAUGGUACCUCUGAAGCACUGGUAUAAUUUUUUUCAGACAAGGAAAUAUCCUGGAAUACAUUGAACGAAAUGUUUCCAGUGGAGAUAUUAAUUCUGUUACAGAAGAUGACAUUGGGAAGGUGUUCCCAGGAUGCUAUAUAUGAUUCUGAUGUCUCACGUUUAGGGAAAAUACAAAUCUGAACAGGUGUAAAGAAAGGCUACUGAGAUCAUCGGGAGAGCCACGAUCUUUCCUUACAAACAGAGGCAAGGCAAGCUCAACUCGCGUAGCCUAGGAAAAUUAAGGUUGACAAGGGAUAUGAUUUCCAUCUAAAAAUACGCAGGCAGUGGAACUAUUGAGAGGGAGAAGAACAAUUUAAAUUUGUCUGUGACUAAACUUAGGCUGGAAAUCAGAUGCACUUUCCUGAUCAUUAAAACAGAGGCAAGGACAGCCUUCCAAUAUGAACAGCUGGGACAAAAAAAAAGCACCAUUUUAAAGAUCUAAUUUUGGUAGUGAAGAAAAUGUUAUAGCACCUUAGGAGGGAGAGGCAGGGGCUCAGUGAUGCUUUGUGUUCAUCUGAUUCCUGCAUCUACACGAGGAAUGUGUAGGGAGGUGACAGUCUCAAUGUUGCUAGAGAUGCAGGAUGUCCCUUCGGUUGUGCCUUUGGUACCUUCUGUUAUUCUUCACUUAUGUCCAACGUUUCAGCCCAAAAUAUUGGCACAGUCCAGGCUUCAUUCUUCUGCCUGUGACACCCAGAUCUAUGCGGCAGCUAACCUUGCAGAACUGACAAGGAACAGGAGUUUUCACAAGCAGCAAGAGGGAUAUAAAUCACUUUAACAUAAUUCACACAUAAAUAUGGUGCUGGUGAGUGUAAAUUUGGUACAAAUUCUUCAAAUGUAUAAAUAUGAAUGUCUCUGUUUCUUUUUCUCUCCGUUUCCCUUUGUCAGUAAAGAUUAGAUGUCUUUUAUUUACUGUGGGAAUAGCUAUUACUUGCUUUAAUAUUUCUUGUUGCCAGUGGCUAAAAAUAAGAGUUCCUUGACAUGUUUUCAGGUCUCACUGCUCUCAUGGAUAGUUUAUUUUACUUUAUUUAUUUAUUUUUCCCCAGAGAAAUAUAAGUUUAGAGGUGGUAGCAAAGGCCUAGAGAGGCUUCUCUAAAUGCUGUUUUUUUGUUUGUUUGUUUGUUUUGUUUUUAAUGUGUUUACCUAAAUGGUUAUAAUGGUUAGAUCAGUCAGUGCAAUAGGCAAGCUAUGUUUGUUUAUUUAGUUAUUUUCUGUACCUUUGUAAAUGCAUUGUUGGACCUGUUGAUACAUUUUAAUUUCACCAGUUUGGACUACAUUGAUAUUUCUAACAGUAUAAAAAACAAACAAACAACAGAAAAAGGCCACAUAGAAUCAGCUGCAGUGCUUUGACUGACUUACAAUGACAGCCCCAAAGGGCAUUUUCAGACCACCUCUGGCCAAACUGCAAAUGGAUCUUGGGAAAAGGCUGCCUGUGGCUGUUGAUGACUGAAUUGGUGGUGCUGGUGGGAAUACAGGAGAAAUGGUGUCAGGGUUGAGUUGUGCCAGGCUGCUCCCCAGCUGCCAGGCAAAGCGCUCAUCAUGCUCCAGCUUGCACCCAUCCCCUCCCUUGCAAUACCUUACAUAAAAGAUUAGAGGCUGAGCUGCACCUCUUCUCCCAUGGCAUUAAUUAAUAUAAAUAACUGCAUGGAUCACUCUGAAGGGUUGGAUGUUUACCUGCCAAGCCCUACAUAAUUGGUGAUCGUGGCGGAUGUCAAGCCUUGCUUUGAGACAUCACUCAGCAAGCCCUUCCUGAGCAGCUGAUGGACUGCUAUUAAACCACACCAAGCCAUGGAUUCCUGCAGAAACUCUUCCCUGCCAUUAAGGAAAAGGAAAUUUUAAAGAGUGAAGCGGGUAGAUGAUUGAAGUAGCUGCUCCUGUAUCGUGCUAGGCUGUCUCAAAAAUGGGAAACAUGAAGUCUGAGGGUUUUUUCCAUGCAUUUGUGUGGUUUAAGGAACAGCAAGGGGUAUGACAGUCUGGGGUAGGGUAAUCUGGUAGUCGAGAGCUGCACAGGAAUUUGGAAGAACUGGUUUCAUUUCUUCCUCUGAGAGUUGAUUCCUUGCACAUAUAAAUGUUUACUGCCUGUGGACACCAGCUGUACCUGGUGGCAAGUGCUUCACAGGGCCCAGGGGUGGUGUGUGUCCACCUCACUGGUGUUGUGAUGAUGUUAUGCUUAUUUUGGUGUGGGGAAUUCUUUUUCUUCUUGAUGUAAGAGAAGUUUGUGAAGAGUGCGAUGAUUGUAAAGUAAGAGAAUACUGUGGUUAUUCUUAAAUAUGCUUUUCACAGAGGUGAGGGGUGGAAUGUAGUGGGUUUAUGUGGCAAGGUUUUGGCAGCAGGGGGCCAUAGGGGUGGCUUCUGUGAGAAGAAUCUAGAAGCUG
Molecule: non-coding RNA, 5376 nt
Organism: Anas platyrhynchos (mallard)
Lineage: Eukaryota; Metazoa; Chordata; Aves; Anseriformes; Anatidae
Source: RefSeq, a predicted model, not a curated record